This 1385-nucleotide ribosomal RNA is filed under the name uncultured microorganism. RNAcentral describes it as "bacterial SSU rRNA". It matches the Rfam family "Bacterial small subunit ribosomal RNA", at positions 26 to 1392 of the family's 1533-position model. The record is from RNAcentral.
ACGAUGAACGCUGGCGGCGUGCCUAAUACAUGCAAGUCGAGCGAACGGACGAGAAGCUUGCUUCUCUGAUGUUAGCGGCGGACGGGUGAGUAACACGUGGAUAACCUACCUAUAAGACUGGGAUAACUUCGGGAAACCGGAGCUAAUACCGGAUAAUAUUUUGAACCGCAUGGUUCAAAAGUGAAAGACGGUCUUGCUGUCACUUAUAGAUGGAUCCGCGCUGCAUUAGCUAGUUGGUAAGGUAACGGCUUACCAAGGCAACGAUGCAUAGCCGACCUGAGAGGGUGAUCGGCCACACUGGAACUGAGACACGGUCCAGACUCCUACGGGAGGCAGCAGUAGGGAAUCUUCCGCAAUGGGCGAAAGCCUGACGGAGCAACGCCGCGUGAGUGAUGAAGGUCUUCGGAUCGUAAAACUCUGUUAUUAGGGAAGAACAUAUGUGUAAGUAACUGUGCACAUCUUGACGGUACCUAAUCAGAAAGCCACGGCUAACUACGUGCCAGCAGCCGCGGUAAUACGUAGGUGGCAAGCGUUAUCCGGAAUUAUUGGGCGUAAAGCGCGCGUAGGCGGUUUUUUAAGUCUGAUGUGAAAGCCCACGGCUCAACCGUGGAGGGUCAUUGGAAACUGGAAAACUUGAGUGCAGAAGAGGAAAGUGGAAUUCCAUGUGUAGCGGUGAAAUGCGCAGAGAUAUGGAGGAACACCAGUGGCGAAGGCGACUUUCUGGUCUGUAACUGACGCUGAUGUGCGAAAGCGUGGGGAUCAAACAGGAUUAGAUACCCUGGUAGUCCACGCCGUAAACGAUGAGUGCUAAGUGUUAGGGGGUUUCCGCCCCUUAGUGCUGCAGCUAACGCAUUAAGCACUCCGCCUGGGGAGUACGACCGCAAGGUUGAAACUCAAAGGAAUUGACGGGGACCCGCACAAGCGGUGGAGCAUGUGGUUUAAUUCGAAGCAACGCGAAGAACCUUACCAAAUCUUGACAUCCUUUGACAACUCUAGAGAUAGAGCCUUCCCCUUCGGGGGACAAAGUGACAGGUGGUGCAUGGUUGUCGUCAGCUCGUGUCGUGAGAUGUUGGGUUAAGUCCCGCAACGAGCGCAACCCUUAAGCUUAGUUGCCAUCAUUAAGUUGGGCACUCUAAGAUGACUGCCGGUGACAAACCGGAGGAAGGUGGGGAUGACGUCAAAUCAUCAUGCCCCUUAUGAUUUGGGCUACACACGUGCUACAAUGGACAAUACAAAGGGCAGCGAAACCGCGAGGUCAAGCAAAUCCCAUAAAGUUGUUCUCAGUUCGGAUUGUAGUCUGCAACUCGACUACAUGAAGCUGGAAUCGCUAGUAAUCGUAGAUCAGCAUGCUACGGUGAAUACGUUCCCGGGUCUUGUACACACCG